CUGCUGUGGUUGCCUUCCCUGCAAAGCUUGUUUGUGAUGCUCAUCUCUGAAAGAUGCAUAGUAUCUGCCUGCCUUCAAAUUAAAAAAAGAAUCAAAAAAAAGAAUGUAUGAACAGCAGGUAGACUGGUCAGCAGUGAUUCACUCCCUGGCAGCCAUGAUGAGAGCACCACGAGCUCAAUUCAGCCCUGCUGGAGGUGACUAUUUCUCCUUUUCCUUUCACGGUAUUGCACCUACGUUACACCAGGUAUCAAGGGAAAAUGGCUAGCAGUGAGUUCUGUAGCUUUCCCUGCUCUACAGCCCCUCUGGCUUAGCCAGCUGGAUCACACUGAAUUAGUCAAGUACUUCAUUAUCUCCCUUCUCUGCACAUUUAGC
Molecule: long non-coding RNA, 372 nt
Filed under: Serinus canaria (Common canary)
Lineage: Eukaryota; Metazoa; Chordata; Aves; Passeriformes; Fringillidae
Description: lncRNA (ENSSCAG00000000930.1)
Source: RNAcentral